RNAcentral lists this ribosomal RNA (454 nucleotides) under Phylacteophaga froggatti. RNAcentral describes it as "partial 16S rRNA". It matches the Rfam family "Bacterial large subunit ribosomal RNA", at positions 1859 to 2573 of the family's 2925-position model. The record is from RNAcentral. Lineage: Eukaryota; Metazoa; Arthropoda; Insecta; Hymenoptera; Pergidae.
CUGCCCAAUGAUAUUUUAUUUAAUGGCCGCAGUAUUUUGACUGUGCAAAGGUAGCAUAAUAAUUAGUCUAUUAAUUGUAGGCUGGUAUGAAAGAUUGAACGAGGUAAAUACUGUCUCAUUAAAAUUUUUAUUAGAAUUUAAUUUUUGAGUUAAAAAGCUUAAAUUUUAUUAGAGGACGAGAAGACCCUAUAGAACUUUAUAAUUUUAUAUUUUUUUGAAUUAAAUUUAUUUGAUAAUAUUUAAAAUUAUUUUAUUGGGGCGAUAGGAAAAUUUAAUAAACUUUUUUAAUUAAUAUUACAAUGAUGUUUGAAUUUUUGAUCCUAGUUUUUAGAUUAAUAGAUUAAGUUACCUUAGGGAUAACAGCGUUAUUUUUUUUAGAAGUUCAUAUUAAUAAAAAAGAUUGCGACCUCGAUGUUGGAUUAAAAUUAUUUUCAGGUGCAGAAGCUUGAAUAUU